RNAcentral lists this ribosomal RNA (253 nucleotides) under uncultured bacterium. RNAcentral's name for it is "partial 16S ribosomal RNA". It matches the Rfam family "Bacterial small subunit ribosomal RNA", at positions 524 to 776 of the family's 1533-position model. The record is from RNAcentral.
UACGGAAGGGGCAAGCGUUGUUCGGAAUCAUUGGGCGUAAAGGGCGCGUAGGCGGUCUCGUAUGUCUGCUGUGAAAGCACACGGCUUAACCGUGAAGAGUCGGUGGAAACUGCGAGACUUGAGGCUGGGAGGGGCUGGUGGAAUUCCCCGUGUAGCGGUGAAAUGCGUAGAUACGGGGGAGAACACUCGUGGCGAAGGCGGCCAGCUGGACCAGUACUGACGCUGAGGCGCGACAGCGUGGGGAGCAAACAGG